RNAcentral lists this ribosomal RNA (465 nucleotides) under uncultured bacterium. RNAcentral describes it as "partial 16S ribosomal RNA". It matches the Rfam family "Bacterial small subunit ribosomal RNA", at positions 28 to 507 of the family's 1533-position model. The record is from RNAcentral.
GACGAACGCUGGCGGCGUGCUUAACACAUGCAAGUCGAACGGAAAGGCCCUGCUUGCCGGGUACUCGAGUGGCGAACGGGUGGGUAACACGUGGGUGAUCUGCCCUGCACUUCGGGAUAAGCCUGGGAAACUGGGUCUAAUACCGGAUAGGAGCCAUUUUUAGUGUGAUGGUUGGAAAGUUUUUUCGGUGUAGGAUGAGCUCGCGGCCUAUCAGCUUGUUGGUGGGGUAAUGGCCUACCAAGGCGGCGACAGGUAGCCGGCCUGAGAGGGUGGACGGCCACAUUGGGACUGAGAUACGGCCCAGACUCCUACGGGAGGCAGCAGUGGGGAAUAUUGCACAAUGGGCGCAAGCCUGAUGCAGCGACGCCGCGUGGGGGAUGACGGCCUUCGGGUUGUAAACGCCUUUCGCUAGGGACGAAGCUUUUUGUGACGGUACCUAGAGAAGAAGCACCGGCUAACUACGUG